Molecule: non-coding RNA, 72 nt
Organism: Rhynchosporium graminicola
Lineage: Eukaryota; Fungi; Ascomycota; Leotiomycetes; Helotiales; Ploettnerulaceae
Source: the annotation of a GenBank genome assembly
GGUUGUAUAGUGUAGCGGUUAGCACGCGGCAUUUUGAUUGCUGAAUCCCAGGUUCGAGCCCUGGUACGACCU